Molecule: long non-coding RNA, 337 nt
Organism: Rhinopithecus roxellana (golden snub-nosed monkey)
Lineage: Eukaryota; Metazoa; Chordata; Mammalia; Primates; Cercopithecidae
Exons: 3
Source: RefSeq, a predicted model, not a curated record
UCACCCUGGACUAAUCCAUCCACAAAAUCCUGUGGCUGCAGUAGGAGCCCCCUUCCCAGCCCUCCCUGGCUAAGAGAUGGUGGUCCCAGAGGUGCUGAGGACUCCUCCUGGAGCCAGAGUUAUUCCUGCCUUGGGACAUGUAUGAGGAUGGUCUCCUUUGCAGCCUACCUGAAGUGAAUGUGCGCCCGAGAGGCUUCAUGAAAGGUGCCAGGACUACAGACAGGGCAAGGGAGAGCAGGGGCCUGCUGGAGAAACCCAUCCUUCCCUGAGAUCUCUUGGAGGGCUCUCCAUCUCUCUUAGAGCAGUUUCUUUCUUAGACAGUUGAAGCUGCUCAGUG